CGUAUCACUUAAAGCGAUUCAGCGGGUUACGAUUGACGGAGCGAAGCGACGUCAAAGCGUAUACAAAGUCGAGUCGGUUUAAGGAUACGUUCGUUGGGUAGGGGAGCGUUCUGUAAGCCUGUGAAGGUGGCCUGUGAGGGUUGCUGGAGGUAUCAGAAGUGCGAAUGCUGACAUAAGUAACGAUAAAGCGGGUGAAAAGCCCGCUCGCCGGAAGACCAAGGGUUCCUGUCCAACGUUAAUCGGGGCAGGGUGAGUCGACCCCUAAGGCGAGGCCGAAAGGCGUAGUCGAUGGGAAACGGGUUAAUAUUCCCGUACUUGGUGUUACUGCGAAGGGGGGACGGAGAAGGCUAUGUUGGCCGGGCGACGGUUGUCCCGGUUUAAGCGUGUAGGUGUGUGUUCCAGGUAAAUCCGGUUCACUUUAACACUGAGGCGUGACGACGAGGCACUACGGUGCUGAAGCAACAAAUGCCCUGCUUCCAGGAAAAGCCUCUAAGCAUCAGGUAACAUCAAAUCGUACCCCAAACCGACACAGGUGGUCAGGUAGAGAAUACCAAGGCGCUUGAGAGAACUCGGGUGAAGGAACUAGGCAAAAUGGUGCCGUAACUUCGGGAGAAGGCACGCUGACAC
This 627-nucleotide ribosomal RNA is filed under the name Salmonella enterica. RNAcentral's name for it is "partial 23S ribosomal RNA". It matches the Rfam family "Bacterial large subunit ribosomal RNA", at positions 1154 to 1757 of the family's 2925-position model. The record is from RNAcentral. RNAcentral also lists the same sequence under 5 other names. Lineage: Bacteria; Pseudomonadati; Pseudomonadota; Gammaproteobacteria; Enterobacterales; Enterobacteriaceae.